This 252-nucleotide ribosomal RNA is filed under the name uncultured bacterium. RNAcentral's name for it is "partial 16S ribosomal RNA". It matches the Rfam family "Bacterial small subunit ribosomal RNA", at positions 524 to 776 of the family's 1533-position model. The record is from RNAcentral.
UACGGAGGAUGCGAGCGUUAUCCGGAUUUAUUUGGUUUAAAGGGUGCGUAGGCGGGCUUUUAAGUCAGCGGUAAAAAUUCGGGGCUCAACCCCGUCCGGCCGUUGAAACUGGGGGUCUUGAGUGGGCGAGAAGAAGGCGGAAUGCGUGGUGUAGCGGUGAAAUGCAUAGAUAUCACGCAGAACCCCGAUUGCGAAGGCAGCAUGCCGGCUUCCGACUGACGCUGAAGCACGAAAGCGUGGGGAUCGAACAGG